GACGAACGCUGGCGGCGUGCUUAACACAUGCAAGUCGAACGAUGAAGCCUAGCUUGCUAGGUGGAUUCGUGGCGCACGGGUGAGUAAUACGUGAGUGAACUACCUUUAACUCUGGGAUAAGACCGGGAAACAGGGUCUCAUACCGGAUACGGCAACUCUCCGCGCGUGGUGUUGGUUGGAAGGGUUCUGUGGUGGUUAUAGAUGGGCUCGCGGCCUAUCAGCUUGUUGGUGUGGUAACGGCUCACCAAGGCGACGACGGGUAGCCGGCCUGAGAGGGUGACCGGCCACACUGGGACUGAGACACGGCCCAGACUCCAACGGGAGGCAGCAGUGGGGAAUAUUGCACAAUGGGCGCAAGCCUGAUGCAGCGACGCCGCGUGCGGGAUGACGGCCUUCGGGUUGUAAACCGCUGUUAGCAGUGAAGAAGAGAGAGUGACGGUACCUGGAGAGAAAGCGCCGGCUAACUACGUG
This 471-nucleotide ribosomal RNA is filed under the name uncultured bacterium. RNAcentral's name for it is "partial 16S ribosomal RNA". It matches the Rfam family "Bacterial small subunit ribosomal RNA", at positions 28 to 507 of the family's 1533-position model. The record is from RNAcentral.